RNAcentral lists this ribosomal RNA (253 nucleotides) under uncultured bacterium. Its description in RNAcentral is "partial 16S ribosomal RNA". It matches the Rfam family "Bacterial small subunit ribosomal RNA", at positions 524 to 776 of the family's 1533-position model. The record is from RNAcentral.
UACGGGGGGGGCAAGCGUUGUUCGGAAUUACUGGGCGUAAAGGGUUCGUAGGUGGCCAAUUAAGUCAGACGUGAAAUCCCUCAGCUUAACUGGGGAACUGCGUCUGAGACUGGAUGGCUUGAGUGCAGGAGAGGAACGCGGAAUUCCAGGUGUAGCGGUGAAAUGCGUAGAUAUCUGGAGGAACACCGGUGGCGAAGGCGGCGUUCUGGACUGCAACUGACACUGAGGAACGAAAGCCAGGGGAGCAAAUGGG